Molecule: non-coding RNA, 1501 nt
Organism: Ictidomys tridecemlineatus (thirteen-lined ground squirrel)
Lineage: Eukaryota; Metazoa; Chordata; Mammalia; Rodentia; Sciuridae
Source: RefSeq, a predicted model, not a curated record
UAAAGGGCCUUCAAACUUCUAAAUUUAUAUUUGUAAUAUCCUAAAAAUAAAUUUCAUUUUGUCUUACUAGUUAUUACAUUCCAACUAAUGAGGUUUGGUUUGGUUUUGCAGUGCAGGGCAACUGAACUUGGGGACUCACAUAUGCUUUACCACUGCGGGUUCUUUGCCACCGAGAUGAAUUCCCAGCUAAGGGGUUCUCUUUAUUUUUACUGGUAUUGAGAAAGAUAAGAAGGCAGGUGCUAGGCUCAGCAGUGCACUCAUGUAACCCCAGCUCAAAAGACCAAGGCAGGAAAAUUACAAGUUUGAGACCAGCCUCAGGAAUUUAGCAAGACCCUGUCUCACAAGAAAAAAAAAAAAUGGGGAUGGGGAUGAAGCUCAGUGGCAAAUCACCCUGUUUCAAUUCCUAGUACCAAAAAGAAAGAAAGAAAGAUUAAAAGCAGCAUAGAAUAUAGUUUCCUAUGAAGCACACUGUUGUAUAACUAGAAAUCAUUUCAUUAUAACACUAUAAUAUUCUUUGAAUCUUUAGGUAAAUCAUUAAUGGCUCCACCAUACUUUAAAGGACUUAGAGGGAAAUCUUCAACAGAGGGAACUCAGAAGAUGUAAUUAGAUCAAGACCAGGAAUUGAAUUGCAAAUGGGUGUUAAAUUUUAGGAUUGUAACUUACAUUUCCUUGACGAUGGGUAGUGAACAAAUUUGGCUAUCAAAAUACACAUAAGCCAACUGGAUAUCUGUGAAACACCAGUUCAAAAUCUGUGCCUAUUCACGACAUUGGCCUUCUCUUCUUUGGAAGCAUGAAUUGACAUUUCCUCCAUACAAUGGCUUGCUUUUUCACAAACAGUGGUCUUGCCUGGAAGGCUCUGAAGUGUACAUGGCCAUAGGAAUAUGGACGUCUUCACUGUGUCAAGAAUAAAGAAGAAAAAUAAAAAGGAACUAGACAUGACUGGACCAACUCUGUUAAAGAUAAGCCUUUUAAUCAAGCCUAUUGAAUGUGUUUAAAAGACCUAAAUAUCUUUUGUGCUUCUUUCAUGCUGGGUCCUGAGAUGUUUGGGGUCCUCAUUCUAACAAACUGCUCAUCACUUGACUACCUUUGCCUUUCAGUCUCCUGGGUGACAGCCUCAUGUGGAUGAAAGAAAUUCCCAUCUCUGCACUGUCUCUUCCACCUGUUCCCUUCACAGAGGGGUGUCUGACUGAAAACUACUCUAUUCUAGUUCUAUUGCUACAAAUGUCAUGUGUUGAUCAUUCUCACCACCUGUCUCCACUGUAUAUACUAUCUUUAAAAUUAACUUAAAAAUGUAGUAAUAUUGUGCUGGGUACCACUUCGAUUUUAUUUAUUAUUCAUUAUUCUUAACAAAUUAAGCAGUUCAGUAGAGAAAAAUAACCUUAUUUUUAAAAGAAUAACCACUGCUUUAAGUUAUACAUUAUUCUGAAUUGAAUGUUAACAGAUUAAAAAUAUGUACUGAUAAUUCUUUGAAUAUGCUUGAAUAAACACUAGAUUUUUAAAA